This 768-nucleotide ribosomal RNA is filed under the name uncultured bacterium. RNAcentral describes it as "bacterial SSU rRNA". It matches the Rfam family "Bacterial small subunit ribosomal RNA", at positions 94 to 863 of the family's 1533-position model. The record is from RNAcentral.
ACCGGCGCACGGGUGAGUAACGCGUAUGUAACCUGCCCUCAACAGGGGGAUAGCCCGUGGAAACAUGGAUUAAUACCCCAUAAAGCAGGGGUGUCGCCUGGCACUAUUUGCUAAAGUUCCGACGGUUGAGGAGGGGCAUGCGUCUGAUUAGCUAGUUGGUAGGGUAACGGCCUACCAAGGCGACGAUCAGUAGGGGAUCUGAGAGGAUGAUCCCCCACACUGGUACUGAGAUACGGACCAGACUCCUACGGGAGGCAGCAGUAGGGAAUAUUGGGCAAUGGGCGCAAGCCUGACCCAGCCAUGCCGCGUGCAGGAUGAAGGCCUUCUGGGUUGUAAACUGCUUUUCUACAGGAAGAAACGCUCUCUGCGGAGAGAAUCGACGGUACUGUAGGAAUAAGCACCGGCUAACUCCGUGCCAGCAGCCGCGGUAAUACGGAGGGUGCAAGCGUUGUCCGGAUUUACUGGGUUUAAAGGGUGCGUAGGCGGAAAAUUAAGUCAGUGGUGAAAGCCUGCGGCUCAACCGCAGAAGUGCCAUUGAUACUGGUUUUCUUGAGUGCAGUGGAGGUAGGCGGAAUUUAUGGUGUAGCGGUGAAAUGCAUAGAUACCAUAAAGAACACCAAUAGCGUAGGCAGCUUACUACGCUGUAACUGACGCUGAGGCACGAAAGCGUGGGGAUCAAACAGGAUUAGAUACCCUGGUAGUCCACGCUGUAAGCGAUGAAGACUCGCUGUUGGCGAUAUACUGUCAGCGGCCAAGUAAAAGCGUUAA